AACCAUUCUCACCUGCGGCUAGACCUGCGGAAGGAUCAUUACCGAGUGCGGGUCCUCGUGGCCCAGCCUCCCACCCGUGACUAUUGUACCUUGUUGCUUCGGCGGGCCCGCCAGCCCUGCUGGCCGCCGGGGGGCGUCUCGCCCCCGGGCCCGUGCCCGCCGGAGACCCCAACAUGAACCCUGUUCUGAAAGCUUGCAGUCUGAGUGUGAUUCUUUGCAAUCAGUUAAAACUUUCAACAA
Molecule: unclassified non-coding RNA, 240 nt
Filed under: soil metagenome
Description: partial contains 5.8S ribosomal RNA, internal transcribed spacer 2, and large subunit ribosomal RNA
Source: RNAcentral